AGUGGCGUACGGGUGAGUAACACGUGGGCAACCUGCCCUGGAGCCUGGGAUACCCUCCCGAAAGGGAGGCUAAUACCGGAUACGUUCCCCGGGUCGCGAGAUCUGGGGAGGAAAGGUGGCGCAAGCUGCCGCUCUUGGAGGGGCUCGCGGCCUAUCAGCUAGUUGGUGAGGUAAUGGCUCACCAAGGCUAUGACGGGUAGCUGGUCUGAGAGGACGACCAGCCACACGGGGACUGAGACACGGCCCCGACUCCUACGGGAGGCAGCAGUGGGGAAUUUUCCGCAAUGGGCGAAAGCCUGACGGAGUGACGCCGCGUGGGGGACGAAGGCCUUCGGGUUGUAAACCCCUGUCAGAGGGAAAGAAGGGUGUCGGCGCGAUAACCGCCGGCACCUGACGGUACCUUCAGAGGAAGCCCCGGCCAACUCUGUGCCAGCAGCCGCGGUAAGACAGAGGGGGCUAGCGUUGCUCGGAAUUACUGGGCGUAAAGGGCGCGUAGGCGGGGCGGCAAGUCGGUCGUGAAAUCCUCCGGCUCAACCGGAGAACGUCGGCCGAAACUGCCGUUCUUGAGGGAUGCAGAGGAGAUUGGAAUUCCCGGUGUAGCGGUGAAAUGUGUAGAGAUCGGGAGGAACACCGGUGGCGAAGGCGGGUCUCUGGGCAUCUCCUGACGCUGAGGCGCGAAAGCGUGGGGAGCAAACGGGAUUAGAUACCCCGGUAGUCCACGCUGUAAACGAUGACGACUAGGUGUGGGGGG
RNAcentral lists this ribosomal RNA (751 nucleotides) under uncultured bacterium. Its description in RNAcentral is "bacterial SSU rRNA". It matches the Rfam family "Bacterial small subunit ribosomal RNA", at positions 94 to 829 of the family's 1533-position model. The record is from RNAcentral.